AUGCUUAGUACAUUCGAUGUAAACGCGCCCGUACUAAGGCUUUGGUGCGCACCAAACUUAAUACGCGUACUAAGGUUUUGACGAUGUAAACUAAGCCUAUAGGUCUUUACAUCUGAGGACAUUCGGGUGAGGAAUCUGAACGCACCCAUGUAUGCCUAUACCCCCACUCCUAAACCGCGAGCACAGGCCUGUAAAAAAUAGACAUAUAACCUACGAAGUUAAAUCCGCAACAGCCCAAUUUCAGCGGAUUUAGUGAUUAAUUAAAGCGUGGUACUUCGUCCCGGGAGGGGCAGAAAUCCAUUCGGGCCUCUGAAGAAGAAGAAAAUAGACAUCUGAUUCCAAGGCCAAAAAUUUGAGUAUUUACAAAAGGAGAAUGUCCAAAAUAUAUGGGAAUGUAGUGAAUAACGAUCAAAUCUAUAUUAGAGAAAUAGUUUCCGAAACUAUAGUUUAAUUUUGUCAUAAAUAUUUUUCUCUAUUUAGUGUCUGGAACAAAAUAUACAAAAUAUUCUGUGUUAAUGCCCACUUUGAAUAGCUUGUAAAUAUAAUGAAUUUUAUUUAUGUUGAAUAAAUUUUUAGUAGAAAAAUGUGGGGCAUUACUUUUUGAACAAUCCUAGUAUAUCUUUCUUUGAAGAGUUUGGAUAAAGAUGUGCUCAGAAAUGAAUUAGAAAUAUUCGCGAAUUAGAAGUAUUUUUGGUAUAGAUUUUAUUCGUAUCUGCUCGCGAGCCAUUUCGAGCAAUCUUUUAUUGUUGUUUAGGAAAAAAAGAGAA
Long non-coding RNA from Monomorium pharaonis (pharaoh ant), 767 nucleotides. RefSeq lists it as uncharacterized. The record is from RefSeq and is a predicted model, not a curated record. Lineage: Eukaryota; Metazoa; Arthropoda; Insecta; Hymenoptera; Formicidae. The transcript has 2 exons.